AAAAAAGGUGAUGGUAGAGUGUUGGUUGCAUGAGUUUUAGUGAGAGAAAAAAAUUUCAGCAAGUUCCCUACAGACGAUGCCUAUGAAGGUUCUAGAUUUUUGCCUUCACACGAAUUUCUAGUUUGUAAAGAACUUGUAAUCGAUCAGGUAGCCUCGAAUCCAACAGGUUGCAUACUUAAAAAAGGCAUUAUGAUGCUCAAGUUAGUGUUUAAUUUUGAUUGAAGAAAGAAGAAAGCAGAAAAAAGUAGGUUUUCUCUCUCUUUAGAAUGAACAAUGCUCUUCUAAGGCC
RNAcentral lists this long non-coding RNA (289 nucleotides) under Citrus maxima (pomelo). RNAcentral's name for it is "long non-coding RNA (CMAX_LNC000638)". The record is from RNAcentral. Lineage: Eukaryota; Viridiplantae; Streptophyta; Magnoliopsida; Sapindales; Rutaceae.